UCUGUGAAAUAAACGUUUUCGUAUCUCAGAUAACUUUCAGGAUCUGUUUCUUCUACAAAGAUUUCAAAUUCUCAUGAAAUAUAAAUGAAAUUUCCCAGGCUGUAUGAUAUUUAUUUUAAAUUAUUUUAUAGUACAUAUAUUAACAUAUACAUACAUAGAAAGAAUGAAAAAGCAUGUAAAGGCAACUGCGUUCAGCUGAGGUUAAAGAGGGGAGAAGCACGCGUCUGCCACGCUCCCAGUGUACACACCUGGGACCAGUUGGCCAGCGAGAGAAAUCUUUUUCACCCUAAAAAUCUACAAACCAAAUCAUUAUAUGUCGAUUAGAAAUUUCUUGUUAUAAACAAACAUGCUUUGAUCCAUCCAUCGGUAUGUUCGUACUCUGUUGUAUUCAGCAAGUUUACGCUCUUAUCAAAAGUAUUACUUUCACGGACAAUAUAUUUCGUUGGCACUGAAAUCGAUCUCACUUGUCAACGACGAAGUUCAGGCUAUUUAUCACAAAGUCAACCAUAGAAGUUAGGAACAUGGAAUCGCCAGGAUGAUCCAAUACUUCGUUUUCCUAAUUUUGUGUGUAACAAGGUUCGAGGGAACUCGUACGAAUUCAUACGACGGAGGAAGUAAAAUUAUUCGAGCGAAUGUCCUUUGAGUUUCGGUGGAAGAGCACCCGUUCGAAGUUCCUUCCUCCACGGGUUUCAAAGAUAUCGUGCUUAAAAAUAUAUACUUAUUAUGUGGUGUAACAUAACGUUUCACGGAUAGAUCGUAUAUUAUUGAAAAAGUAAAUUGUGAAAGACGAGUAGGAAAUAAGGUGUAUACUUAUUUAACGAUAUAGAAUUUCACGGAACAUUAGAGAAUGCCGAAAACACAGGGCAAUGCAUAAGCUUAACCAUCAAGAAGAAAAUCGGCAAACCGCUAAUUGCACCGCAAGGUAAAUAAAACGAAAACGCCGACAGGAAACUGAAAAUAGGCGGAAAACCCGAAAUGGUAUUAAAGUCGCAUUAAACACAUCGGUCGUAACUUCCGGUACAUUUCCGAAAAUACCGAUUUAUUCGAAAUUAAUAUAUAGGGUGUUUUAUUUUUGUCCUGCCAAACGAUGUUAGCAUAUUGUACAAUUAAAAAUAAGAAAAAGAUGUAACGUGAAAUGAAAUAAAAAUAAUUAAU
Molecule: unclassified non-coding RNA, 1155 nt
Filed under: Bombus terrestris (buff-tailed bumblebee)
Lineage: Eukaryota; Metazoa; Arthropoda; Insecta; Hymenoptera; Apidae
Description: misc RNA ENSBTSG00005031760.1
Source: RNAcentral